Molecule: non-coding RNA, 27 nt
Filed under: Rattus norvegicus (Norway rat)
Lineage: Eukaryota; Metazoa; Chordata; Mammalia; Rodentia; Muridae
Source: RNAcentral
UAUAAUUUAUAUUAAUUGGUGUUUUGC